UCCAUCUUUAUGAACAAACGACAGCUGAGCGAGGGAUGAAAAGCGGCGGAAAAGAGGAGGGAGGAGCCGAGACCAUCUGUGCCCUGCUCGUAAAGGGUGGGGUUAAUAAUAAUAAUAAUAAUAAUAAUAAUAAUAAUAAUGAGCAUUUAAUAUUAAUUAACUGUAUUCACACUACCGUGACCUACGAAUGACCCUGGCUGAUAGUCCUGACAAGACAAGACAAGACAAGACAGGAACCGGGUUCUGUGGGGUGAAAGGUCAAAGGGCAAACUGUAGGUUUGAAAGAGAAGAGAAAGAUGACAGCGCACACUCAGUGAGUGAGCAGUGGGUAAAUCCUCUAUCCAUCUGCUCAUCUCUUCAUACGCCGGCUGAUGAGGUCGGCAGAAAGGACUCGUACUGCGAGCAGAGUUCGUGACCUACGCAUGACCUCACCGUGACCUUGAGGUGGUGUGAGAGAAUCCUCCUUUCUCGCUCACCCUUUUGUCCUCUGUCUAGCAGUCGCUUUUAGUCGAAGGGUAUUUGUAAACACAGGCCUACUGAGGGGGAAAAAUAAAUAAAUAAACAAAUAGGACACUUCAGCUAGUCAACGAUAACGGAGCAAGAAGUACGUAGCUACUCUGCGUGUACGUUCCGAAACUUUUCGAAUGAAAAACGCGGCUUAAUUAGUGAAUUUGAUCUCGCCGGAAAGUCCUGGGGAGUGUGUUUAAACUUAGCGCGAUAAGAAUACAUCAAACACACACAUGUCCGCCCGCUUAAAGCCUGCCACUGUUAUCAGGAUGCAGCAGCACCGCGGCACCGCGGCACCGCACACACUCGUGUUCUCCUCGCUCCGGCUGGAGUGCGUUUGAGAGGUAUGGGGUAGGUGGUAUUGAGGGGGUGCGCAGCAGGGUGCGAGAAUGCUGCUGGGGCUCAGGAGGAGCGAUUUGGAACAGAGCCAGGAUUCCUGCACUAAUAUUUUAUUUGAGAUUAAAACAUGGAGCUGAAAUGCUAGAAAGCGACAAAGCCAUGCAGCCUCGUGCCAACUAUACACUUUCCCGAGGUUCGCCGGAAAGAGCGUUCGUUACGCAUUCGUUCUGAUGAUUAACGCACGAUUACUACCUCCAGGUGUUUACAGAUGUGCAGCGGUGUCUGGAUGCGAUAUCCUCUUUUUUUUUUUUUUCCUUCACACCAGAACACUUCUGGGAAGUUUCUGUUUCCUUUGUAACAUCUUGGGAAUUCACCGUAAAAAAAAAAACCCCAAAAAUGACUGAAAACCACCAAGUGGUUAUGACUAGAGUUACUGUAAAAGCGCGCACACACACACACACACACACACACACACACACUCAAGGUCAUUUUCUCAAAACAGGUGUGGUUGAAGCAUUUUCAGCUAAUUUGGGCCGGUUUGAUAUAACUUGUGCGGUGUGUGUGUGUGUGUGUGUUUGUGUGUGUGUGUAUGUGGUUUCAUUCCCUGACCAGCAAUUUUGGUUUUGAGUAGAAUUGGAGAUGAACUGUUCUCCGUGUGUGUGUGUGUGUGUGUGUGUGUGUGUGUGUGUGUCGAUACAUAAUUUUAUCCUUGUCUCUGUAUUUAUUAUUUUAUAUGUACAACAAAAAGUAGCUUUUAACGGCUCCCCCUAGUGGCGCUGCAGAAAAGCACGUCAGGAGAUCGUGAGUUGGAAUGAGUACCAGGACGGCAGUAAAAUUGCUCGUGCGGUCUGUCUGGGUGGGAGGGGCAUACUCUUUCCCUCCUGUGAGAUCAUGUAUGCAGAAGAGUGUAGAUAGCGCUUUCCUGAGUGUGGUGUGUUACGCUGCCAUGUGAUGCAGCAGGAGCAGCAGUUUGAGAAAGGACUCGAUGGAAGCAUGUGUUUGGUGGCUGUCGUGUGAGCUUCUUGUUUUUUUGUUUUUUUUUUAGGUAGAGAUGAAGCCAAACGGCAUUGUGGGUAAUGUAGGAAACCGUUAACUGGAUGGAAGAUAAGACCAAUGUGUUUCCUUUAAUGUAAUGCUUGUGUCUCUUAUAAAGUGGUCAAUAGUAGCCCAUUAAAACAAAAGUACCCCAAAGAGAUGGAAAUACAGGACCGUGCGCGCGCGCGCGUGUGUGUGUGUGUGUGUGUGUGUGUGUGUGUGUGUGUGUGUUUGAGAGGGAGAAUGCAGGUAUGCAUGCACACUGAACUGUGAGAAGAGAGCCAUGAUGUAUCUAUUAUGAGUGACAGGCACUUAGGAAGCGUGUGUGUGUGUGUGUGUGUGAGAGAGUGUGUGUGUCUGAGAGAGAAAGAGAGAGAGAGAGAGAGAGAGAGAGAGAGAGAGAGAUGUAUACCCAGCAAGUGACAGCUACUCAGCGCACUCGCCCUUAUCCUCCUUUUUAUUAGCCUAAUUAAAAGACCUGCAUUUGUCUCCGUGACGACUGCUCGCCCCAUCACGGUGUUAUUUACCGGCUAGGCAUCCAUGGCGAUCCCGUCGCCGUAACGAUCGGCCUCUCUGAUUGUUUCCGUGACAACAGAAUGCAUCAUCUUCUCUCUCGCAUCUAAUAUCACACACACACACACACACACGCGGGCACAGACACACGCUCAGAAACGGAUGGAACUGUCGGUUAUAAAAGCCCAUUGUAGCCUUACUGAAGGUAGCGGCCAUCAAUAAACGUGCCACGGCGC
This is a long non-coding RNA of Ictalurus punctatus (channel catfish), 2630 nucleotides long. The record is from Ensembl. NCBI's taxonomy places the organism in Eukaryota, Metazoa, Chordata, Actinopteri, Siluriformes, Ictaluridae.